RNAcentral lists this ribosomal RNA (497 nucleotides) under uncultured bacterium. RNAcentral's name for it is "partial 16S ribosomal RNA". It matches the Rfam family "Bacterial small subunit ribosomal RNA", at positions 28 to 507 of the family's 1533-position model. The record is from RNAcentral.
GAUGAACGCUGGCGGCGUGCCUAAUACAUGCAAGUCGAGCGAACGGAUGAGAAGCUUGCUUCUCUGAUGUUAGCGGCGGACGGGUGAGUAACACGUGGAUAACCUACCUAUAAGACUGGGAUAACUUCGGGAAACCGGAGCUAAUACCGGAUAAUAUUUUGAACCGCAUGGUUCAAAAGUAAAAGACGGUCUUGCCGUCACUUAUAGAUGGAUCCGCGCUGCAUUAGCUAGUUGGUAAGGUAACGGCUUACCAAGGCAACGAUGCAUAGCCGACCUGAGAGGGUGAUCGGCCACACUGGAACUGAGACACGGUCCAGACUCCUACGGGAGGCAGCAGUAGGGAAUCUUCCGCAAUGGGCGAAAGCCUGACGGAGCAACGCCGCGUGAGUGAUGAAGGUCUUCGGAUCGUAAAACUCUGUUAUUAGGGAAGAACAUAUGUGUAAGUAACUGUGCACAUCUUGACGGUACCUAAUCAGAAAGCCACGGCUAACUACGUG